RNAcentral lists this ribosomal RNA (453 nucleotides) under uncultured bacterium. Its description in RNAcentral is "bacterial SSU rRNA". It matches the Rfam family "Bacterial small subunit ribosomal RNA", at positions 29 to 524 of the family's 1533-position model. The record is from RNAcentral.
AACGAACGCUGGCGGCAGGCUUAACACAUGCAAGUCGAACGGGUGCAGCAAUGCAUCAGUGGCAGACGGGUGAGUAACACGUGGGAACCUUCCUAGGGGUACGGAACAACUCAGGGAAACUUGAGCUAAUACCGUAUACGUCCGUAAGGAGAAAGAUUCAUCGCCCCUAGACGGGCCCGCGUCGGAUUAGGUAGUUGGUGGGGUAACGGCCUACCAAGCCUGCGAUCCGUAGCUGAUCUGAGAGGAUGAUCAGCCACACUGGGGACUGAGACACGGCCCAGACUCCUACGGGAGGCAGCAGUGGGGAAUCUUGGACAAUGGGCGCAAGCCUGAUCCAGCCAUGCCGCGUGAGUGAAGAAGGCCUUAGGGUUGUAAAGCUCUUUUACCAGGGACGAUAAUGACGGUACCUGGAGAAUAAGCCCCGGCAAACUUCGUGCCAGCCGCCGCAGUAAG